Molecule: ribosomal RNA, 1473 nt
Filed under: activated sludge metagenome
Description: bacterial LSU rRNA
Rfam family: Bacterial large subunit ribosomal RNA
Source: RNAcentral
CCAGGAUGUUGGCUUAGAAGCAGCCAUACAUUGAAAGAGUGCGUAAUAGCUCACUGGUCAAGCGGAACCGCGCCGAAAAUGUCCGGGGCUGAAGCCAUGAACCGAAGUCGCGGAUUUGUUUAAUUACGAAUGGUAGGGGAGCGUUGCGUAUCCGGAGAAGCGGGACCGUAAGGACUCGUGGAGGGUACGGAAGAGAGAAUGCCGGUAUGAGUAGCGAAAAGACAGGUGAGAAUCCUGUCCGCCGUAAACCUAAGGUUUCCUGAGGAAGGUUCGUCCUCUCAGGGUGAGUCGGGACCUAAGGCGAGGCCGAAGGGCGUAGCCGAUGGACAAUCUGUUGAAAUUCAGAUACCGCCAGCAUCGCGUCUGAGCGAAGUGGGGGGGCGGAAGGGUAGACCAUCAGGCCGAUGGAAUGGCCUGUCCAAGCGAGCAGGGUGCAUCCCAGGCAAAUCCGGGGUGCGUGAGCCCGAGACGUGACGGGGAGCGAAAUUAGAGUAGCGGAACUGGUUGAUCCCAUGCCGACUAGAAAAGCCACGCAGCGAGCGAUAUUGGCGCCCGUACCGCAAACCGACACAGGUAGGUGGGGAGAGGAUCCCAAGGCGCGCGAGAGAAACCUCGUUAAGGAACUCGGCAAAAUGAUCCCGUAACCUAGGAAGAAGGGAUGCCCUUGGGGGUUAACAGCCUCCGGGGGUCGCAGAGAAACGGCCCAAGCGACUGUUUAACAAAAACACAGGUCUCUGCUAAGUCGCAAGACGAAGUAUAGGGGCUGACGCCUGCCCAGUGCCGGAAGGUUAAGGGGAGGGCUUAGCGGCAACGCGAAGGUCUGAACCGAAGCCCCGGUGAACGGCGGCCGUAACUAUAACGGUCCUAAGGUAGCGAAAUUCCUUGUCGGGUAAGUUCCGACCUGCACGAAUGGCGUAACGACUUGGGCGCUGUCUCAACGAGGUACUCGGCGAAACUGUAAAUACUUGUGAAGAUACAAGUUACCCGCGACUAGACGGAAAGACCCCAUGGAGCUUCACUGUAACCUGAGAUUGGAUCUUGGCAGGGCAUGUACAGGAUAGGUGGGACGCUGGGAUGCACGGGCGCAAGCCUGUGCGGAGCGGACGUUGGGAUACCACCCUUGUUUUGCCGGGGUUCUAACCGCAUCCCGUAAUCCGGGGGCGGGACAAUCUCAGGCGGGCAGUUUGACUGGGGCGGUCGCCUCCCAAAGAGUAACGGAGGCGCUCAAAGGUCCUCUCAGCGCGGUUAGAAAUCGCGCACGGAGUGUAAAGGCGUAAGAGGGCUUGACUGCGAGACUGACAAGUCGAGCAGGGACGAAAGUCGGACUUAGUGAUCAGGUGGUACCGAGUGGAAGGGCCAUCGCUUAACGGACAAAAGCUACCCUGGGGAUAACAGGCUUAUCUCCCCCAAGAGUCCAUAUCGACGGGGAGGUUUGGCACCUCGAUGUCGGCUCAUCGCAUCCUGGAGCUGAAG